AAAUGACCAGUGACGGAGAAAAGUAGGUAAACCCCACAUGGCCAGAGAGGAAGUGCCGCAGGCUGAGAGCACUUCUGCAUGAUGAUUUAGUGAAAGACACUCCUGAGGUUUCAAUUCGAACGGAAAAUGAACCAUACCCCAGUAGAGUUGGACGCAUGCAGGCGUUACUUGCAUUUGAGCGGAAGCGUAUGCUUCAACCAGGGUGGCACCGCGGGUAUGUAACUCCCGUCCCUAUU
Molecule: non-coding RNA, 236 nt
Filed under: Fictibacillus enclensis
Lineage: Bacteria; Bacillati; Bacillota; Bacilli; Caryophanales; Fictibacillaceae
Description: T-box sequence
Rfam family: T-box leader
About the family: Uncharged tRNA acts as the effector for transcription antitermination of genes in the T-box leader family. T-boxes are found upstream of many aminoacyl-tRNA synthetase genes and some amino acid biosynthetic genes usually in Gram-positive bacteria. The anticodon of a specific tRNA base pairs to a specifier sequence within the T-box motif, and the NCCA acceptor tail of the tRNA base pairs to a conserved bulge in the T-box antiterminator hairpin.
Source: RNAcentral